CGCGACAUUGUUUACGAUUCGGCAGAUAUCUUAGGCCUUUUGUCCACGAUACUACAUAUAUAUAUAUAAAUGUACGGACAUCAACGUCCGAGACGUUCGUCCAUGCCAAACGGUAACGCGUACAGGAAACAUUUGUUCAAAAUGACUUUGACUUUAGCUAAAUUUUCAAAUUGGAAUUAGCUAAUGGUCGUUCGCUUUGUAAAUAAUUAUUUCUUUUUCUUCUUUUUGCCUGCAGAUUAAGCCCUCCCUGUUUGACGGUUUAAAUUUAUUAAAUUAAAUUUAUUAAACCGAAUAUAUAUAUAUUCGUUUGUACUACGAUUACUCUCAUACUCUAUGUAUGGUAUUAUCAUAUCGACGCUAUCAGUUCUUACAGUAUCACGAUCAGAGUCAAUUUUAGAAUAGAAGAAGCGAUUAACGGCGGAUCGCAAAGUAAGAAGCUUAUAACAUAAUUGGCAAGGAAGUCGGAUUUUCCGGAUUCACAGACACGAAGCUCGAAUUAUUCCUGAUCGACCACCACUUUUCGUUUUUCGGCUGAAACAUCACAUGCUGGCCAUUCGUCAGCGGCUGAACGAAGAACGAUCUCUGCCCGAUCAUCAUCAAGGCGUACACUUCUUCUUCGCAUAUCGUCACGACGACGAAGGAACUCGCGUCUCCUUCCAAGCUGCCUUGUCGAAGAUCGCAGUUCGCCUUGGCGUUACGUCGCUCGGACUUGGUUUUACCCUGGCGCACCCAAUUCACGGUGAAAUUCGACGACAGUAUCAAUCGAUCGUUGGCCAUGGUCCUUAAGGUCCAGUUGCUGAUCUCGAGGAACACCGGUUCUUGGUGGAGAUACUCGCGCCAAGUUUCUCGGUCUUCGUGGGUCGAUCUUCUGUUCCGCGCGCUCUCAUUCGGGAUCACUCGAGGGUAAACGAUCUCGUACUCCUGCAAGCUUUGCAGAAAGUCGCUCAUUCGCGACUUAGUAGCGAUCGUGCCGAGCAGCCACGUGG
This is a long non-coding RNA of Bombus terrestris (buff-tailed bumblebee), 986 nucleotides long. RefSeq lists it as uncharacterized. The record is from RefSeq and is a predicted model, not a curated record. The transcript has 2 exons. Lineage: Eukaryota; Metazoa; Arthropoda; Insecta; Hymenoptera; Apidae.